UACGGAGGGUGCAAGCGUUGUUCGGAAUUAUUGGGCGUAAAGGGCAAGUAGGUGGUCUUGUAAGUCUACUGUGAAAUCCCUGGGCUUAACCCAGGAAGUGCGGUGGGUACGGGCAGACUAGAGUGAUGUAGGGGAGACUGGAAUUCCUGGUGUAGCGGUGAAAUGCGCAGAUAUCAGGAGGAACACCAAUGGCGAAGGCAGCUCGCUGGGACGUGACUGACGCUGAGACGCGAAAGCGUGGGGAGCAAACAGG
RNAcentral lists this ribosomal RNA (253 nucleotides) under uncultured bacterium. RNAcentral's name for it is "partial 16S ribosomal RNA". It matches the Rfam family "Bacterial small subunit ribosomal RNA", at positions 524 to 776 of the family's 1533-position model. The record is from RNAcentral.